GGAAACCGAAUGCCAAACCUGGACUUACAUCCAACUCGAAACAAGCACACGCUAACCAACGAACACCAUAACAAAAGGUUAUCAGAUUGACAAGCUAAUAGGGAGUCUGGAACUUGAGCCUAAUAGUUGUCACACAAAACACACACAAAAAAGAAAAAGGUUGAAAAAGAAAAAGGGUGAAUAACAAACUAAUAGGGAGUCUGGAACUCGAGCCUAAAAGUCGUC
RNAcentral lists this long non-coding RNA (225 nucleotides) under Lathyrus oleraceus (garden pea). RNAcentral describes it as "Pisum sativum (pea) long non-coding RNA (PSAT_LNC022633)". Lineage: Eukaryota; Viridiplantae; Streptophyta; Magnoliopsida; Fabales; Fabaceae. The record is from RNAcentral.